Molecule: long non-coding RNA, 673 nt
Organism: Hyaena hyaena (striped hyena)
Lineage: Eukaryota; Metazoa; Chordata; Mammalia; Carnivora; Hyaenidae
Exons: 2
Source: RefSeq, a predicted model, not a curated record
CGCCUCAGAGCCAGUGGCGAGGCCGCCGCCCCCUCUGGGCAUCGGAGAGGCGCCGGCUAGAGCGCCCGCGGAGCCGCCAUCUCAGGGACUCUGCCUGUUGUGACAUCCGCCGGAGGGAACAAUAGAAUGUGCCUUAUCACCUCCAGACGCCUCACAGUCCCAUUGAAGAUUCGGGAUUUGGAAAUCAGCAGGCUGAUCCACGCUCGAAGAUUCGGGAUUUGGAAAUCAGCAGGCUGAUCCACGCUCGAAGAUUCGGGAUUUGGAAAUCAGCAGGCUGAUCCACGCUCGAAGAUUUGGGAUUUGGAAAUCAGCAGGCUGAUCCACGCUCGAAGAUUCGGGAUUUGGAAAUCAGCAGGCUGAUCCACACUCGCUGGCCCUCCUGAAUUACUGACCCACCCACCCCCUCUCUCCUCAGGGCAGGUUACAUCAAACAAACAGCUUGUUUGAGCUAAAUAGCCGGGGCCAAAUUAUUUAUUUAACCAUAAGCCUUGUUAUCUUCGAGAACAGAAGGAAAUCACUUCCCUUCACAUUUUCCUAUCUCUCUCCCCCAGAGCCCCUGUCACAUCUUCAUUUUUUCAGGUCUCCUUGAACUGUACCGCUUCCUCUGUUCCCUCUGUGAGUGCUCAUAACCUUGAGUUGAUUUCCCAGCCAAUAAAUCCUGGAGUCAACUUUU